GCCGCGGUGGCGAAAUGGUAGACGCGCUACCUUGAGGUGGUAGUGCCCGAAAGGGUGUGGAGGUUCAACUCCUCUCCGCGGCA
RNAcentral lists this transfer RNA (83 nucleotides) under bacterium. Its description in RNAcentral is "tRNA-Leu". It matches the Rfam family "tRNA". From Rfam's summary of the family: Transfer RNA (tRNA) molecules are approximately 80 nucleotides in length. Their secondary structure includes four short double-helical elements and three loops (D, anti-codon, and T loops). The record is from RNAcentral.